ACUCCUACGGGAGGCAGCAGUGGGGAAUAUUGGACAAUGGGCGAAAGCCUGAUCCAGCCGUGCCGCGUGUGUGAAGAAGGUCUUCGGAUUGUAAACUGCUUUUAUAAGUGAAGAAUAUGACGGUAACUUAUGAAUAAGCACCGGCUAACUACGUGCCAGCAGCCGCGGUAAU
Molecule: ribosomal RNA, 172 nt
Filed under: uncultured bacterium
Lineage: Bacteria
Description: partial 16S ribosomal RNA
Rfam family: Bacterial small subunit ribosomal RNA
Source: RNAcentral